UCUGCAUCAAAAUAAGGUUUGAUUACAUUUUAAGCAAAACAUAUAUAUUUUAUUUUCAUAAUAUUCAUUCAGUGAAUGUAGCCUACAUAAUCACUCGCUUGCGCGUUGUUGCAAAGAUUUAUCUGAUCUCGCCAGAAUAAUGUGAAACUGCUACGUUUUGUUUGCUAUGAACAAUAUUUUGAGUUAGUUUCUUCAUAAAAAUAAGGUUUGAUUACAUUUUUAGCGAGAAAUAUAUAUUCUAUUUUCAUAAUAUUAGCGUCAAAAACUGACGCGAAUUUUAUUGGUAUGAAAUCACGCUGAAGAAGUCUCCUUCAGAACACAUCGCGAUAUUUGGCAUCAGUUCGCGUGUGCUGGAUGUUGCUGAAAAGACAAAAAGGGCCUUUCGGAAAUGGAUGAAGGAGACAGAAAGCUGCAAAGGCAAAUAAUUGCAAUGAAGGAAAUCCUACGGUUAUGUAUGAACUCACAACAUCAUCAUCAAGUGCUGUGCUGGACACAUUGGGUAACAAGUGUCCUCCAACGUAUCCAAUCUGUGGCCACGUUCUCCACAUCUUCCCAUGGGACACCGACAUUCUUCAGGCCUUCGUUUCCAUGUCUUCCCCUGCAUUCUCCUGGUGGUGUCCACUUCAUCUCUGUCUUUGGGUGUUGUUGUUUGGUCAUGCUUAGGAUGUGUCCAGGGAGGUGCACCCUUCACUCUGUCACAGUUUUUAAAAGUCUUCACGUGGACUCCUCCUUAUGAUCUCCUUGAAACGUGCAGAACCAAUAUUGAAAAUAGUCAUUUAUCUUUUUCCAUAUUCUUGCCUUUAUCAAAGAAGCACCAGUGCUCAUCCGGAGUUUUGGUAAAAGACAUAUUCAUUGCCAUCCACUAGUUCUAGUAAUGCUGCGACUAUAGUCAAAUAUGUAUUUCUGCAUGUGUGUAUAGCAGGUGUUUGUCCGAACAAUUGAAGUUAGUGAGAGUGUUCAGGAAAACCCUCUGAGAACAAUCAAUAUUUAUUUAAUUCUGUUUGGUGCUGAUAUAGAGUAUUACAGAAAUGACACAUUGACAUUCUGGACAUUAUUCUGUGAGUUUGUUACCUCUACAUUUAGAUGGACUUGAAAAUGUCUUGCAUUUUGUUUCAUUAAACCUUUUAUUACAGUGUCACUAAAUGUCCACCUUAACUACAUCUAUGGUAUCAUUAUAUCAGUACCUGGAUAAUGUAAAUGUAACAUACCCAUGAAUGUAUUUUAUAGAAGCAUUUUAUUGCUGAAAAUAUUUAACAUUUAUAAAAUGCAUUAACUAUU
Long non-coding RNA from Megalobrama amblycephala (Wuchang bream), 1278 nucleotides. RefSeq lists it as uncharacterized. The record is from RefSeq and is a predicted model, not a curated record. Lineage: Eukaryota; Metazoa; Chordata; Actinopteri; Cypriniformes; Xenocyprididae. The transcript is spliced from 3 exons.